This 253-nucleotide ribosomal RNA is filed under the name uncultured bacterium. RNAcentral describes it as "partial 16S ribosomal RNA". It matches the Rfam family "Bacterial small subunit ribosomal RNA", at positions 524 to 776 of the family's 1533-position model. The record is from RNAcentral.
UACGUAGGGGGCAAGCGUUGUCCGGAAUCAUUGGGCGUAAAGCGCGUGUAGGCGGCCAAGUAAGUCCGUUCUGAAAGCCCGGGGCUUAACCCCGGAAUUGCACCUCAAACUAUAUGGCUAGAGCAUUGGAGAGGGUAGCGGAAUUCACGGUGUAGCAGUGAAAUGCGUAGAUAUCGUGAGGAACACCAGAGGCGAAGGCGGCUCUCUGGACCGAUACUGACGCUGAGGCGCGAAAGCGUGGGGAGCAAACAGG